UGCCUACGGGACGCAGCAGUGGGGAAUAUUGCACAAUGGGGGAAACCCUGAUGCAGCGACGCCGCGUGAGUGAAGAAGUAUUUCGGUAUGUAAAACUCUAUCAGCAGGGAAGAAAAACCGGCCUUAGGGCCGCCAGACGGUACCUGACUAAGAAGCCCCGGCUAACUACGUGCCAGCAGCCGCGGUAAUACGUAGGGGGCAAGCGUUAUCCGGAUUUACUGGGUGUAAAGGGAGCGUAGACGGCAGCGCAAGUCUGGAGUGAAAUGCCGGGGCCCAACCCCGGAACUGCUUUGGAAACUGUGCAG
Molecule: ribosomal RNA, 305 nt
Filed under: uncultured bacterium
Lineage: Bacteria
Description: bacterial SSU rRNA
Rfam family: Bacterial small subunit ribosomal RNA
Source: RNAcentral